This 427-nucleotide ribosomal RNA is filed under the name uncultured bacterium. RNAcentral's name for it is "bacterial SSU rRNA". It matches the Rfam family "Bacterial small subunit ribosomal RNA", at positions 355 to 774 of the family's 1533-position model. The record is from RNAcentral.
UGGGGAAUAUUGGACAAUGGGCACAAGCCUGAUCCAGCCAUGCCGCGUGGGUGAAGAAGGCCCUCGGGUUGUAAAGCCCUUUUGUUGGGGAAGAAAUCGUGCAGGUGAAUAUCCUGCGCGGAUGACGGUACCCAAAGAAUAAGCACCGGCUAACUUCGUGCCAGCAGCCGCGGUAAUACGAAGGGUGCAAGCGUUACUCGGAAUUACUGGGCGUAAAGCGUGCGUAGGCGGUUCGUUAAGUCCGUUGUGAAAGCCCUGGGCUCAACCUGGGAAUUGCUCUUAAUACUGGCAGGCUUGAGUUCCGGAGAGGAUGGUGGAAUUCCCAGUGUAGAGGUGAAAUUCGUAGAUAUUGGGAAGAACACCGGUGGCGAAGGCGGCCAUCUGGACGGACACUGACGCUGAGGCGCGAAAGCGUGGGGAGCAAACA